AUUGAACGCUGGCGGCAGGCCUAACACAUGCAAGUCGAGCGAGCGGCGGACGGGUGAGUAAUGUCUGGGAAACUGCCUGAUGGAGGGGGAUAACUACUGGACACGGUAGCUAAUACCGCAUACCAUCAGAUUUGCCCAGAGGGGAUUAGCUAGUAGGUGGGGUAACGGCUCACCAAGGCGACGAUCCCUAGCUGGUCUGAGAGGAUGACCAGCCACACUGGAACUGAGACACGGUCCAGACUCCUACGGGAGGCAGCAGUGGGGAAUAUUGCACAAUGGGCGCAAGCCUGAUGCAGCCAUGCCGCGUGUGUGAAGAAGGCCUUCGGGUUGUAAAGCACUUUCAGCGAGGAGGCGUUACUCGCAGAAGAAGCACUGGCUAACUCCGUGCCAGCAGCCGCGGUAAUAC
Molecule: ribosomal RNA, 406 nt
Filed under: uncultured bacterium
Lineage: Bacteria
Description: partial 16S ribosomal RNA
Rfam family: Bacterial small subunit ribosomal RNA
Source: RNAcentral